This is a non-coding RNA of Danio rerio (zebrafish), 116 nucleotides long. The record is from Rfam. NCBI's taxonomy places the organism in Eukaryota, Metazoa, Chordata, Actinopteri, Cypriniformes, Danionidae.
CUACCGGCAGAUAGCUCUCUGCAACUCUCGCAUGGUCGCCCACUGAAGCUAAGCAGGGCUGCGCCCGGUCAGUACCUGGAUGGGAGACCACAUGGGAAAGCUAGGUUGCUGCUGGA